AAGGGAAGUAAUUAGUCUAAGAUGCUGCCAGAAACUCCAAGGUGAGAUUUGGCUUUCAUUCAUCCGGUGCUCUGCCACUUCUAGAUUCAAUCAUUUGAUACCAGUUAACACUUGAAAGAGUGAGAGAUAGAGCAGUUCAAAUUUUGCCAAACUUCAACAAGAUCCAAUCAACUUAUUUAACUCAGCAACAACGGCAAACCUCUAAUCAUUUUCUAGGUAUAUACUACUGUUUCAGUUCAUUUUCUCAACUCAUUCAAGCCACAUAUAUUGUCAUCAUAUCAUAGCAUAAUCGAUCAUCUAUGAAGUGCUUAAGGAGAUGGAACGAAUUGUAGGCAUACUUCACUAUACUUUAUAAACACAAUGAGAUUUCUUAACUUCAUAAGCAAAUGAAUCAAGAUACAAUAGUAGAAUGAAAUAGACUUAACUUUAGAAGAGAAGAACGUUGGGCUGCACUGCGGGCCGCUGGACCUCAAGAACAGCGGCAACGGUGCGACGAAUCAAGCAGACGCCGGCAGCGACGCCCCUAGUCGUCAACGACAGCGCUACUCGCCGACUGCACAGUGCCGGUGGUGGAUCGAAACGAUAGCAGCGGCUUCCCCAAAACGGCAACACACGAACCACGUCGGUCCAGUGGCGACGACAGUGGCGGAAGUCUCGAGCGCAGCAGCAGCGGACGCUCGGCAACGGCGUUCUGCCUUUUCUAAAACUUAGGGCUCGACGACGGAGGGAGAUUCUGAGGACGAGGGAGAUGAACGGCGCCGCUCCCAGGCGGCGAUAUCUCGCCGAAAUUUCAGGGCAGCGGAGGCGCGACUGAUUUUAUGGGAGCAAGAGGCGGCGAAUCUCCCGGCCUUCCAGUUACAGCGGCGGAGGGAUCGACGGUGGUCCAGAGAUGGUGAGAUCGACGAUUGUGGUGGCCGAUGGCUGCUACUGUUCGUCUGUCAAGGAGUCGGAUUCGCUGGUCGGCGGCGGCUUUUGUCGUUGCUGUCGCCGGAAACGGACGGAGAAGGGAGAGCAGUGGGUGACGACGGCUUAUCGCAGCUGCUCCCCGGCGAGCUUCCGCAGCGGCGAAGCUUUGAGAGAGAGAGAGAGAUGGAGGGAGACGGCGGCGAUACCUAUCAUCGUUGCCAAGGAAGGAGGCCGGUCGACGGCUGUCUCGCCGGAGGAAGCCGCGGCGGCGGGACUGAUGGCUGAGUGAGAGAGGUGAAGAGAGAGCCGAGAGGCAGAGAGGGAGAGUGAGGGCUGAAGCUAUGUGUGUGUGCGUGAGAGGCGCAGAUUUGAGGGAGGAAAGGAAGAAAAGGGCUAGGGAUUGGGGAGUGGAUUUGAGUUUGGGCCAAGUGAUGGGCCGAUUUUUUAUUUAGUUGGGCCGAAAAAUUUGGGCCUCCUAUUUAUUUUUGGGCUUUGUUAUUUAUUUUCAGUGGGCUUGAGUUGGGCUGAGUUAUUUAUUAAUUUUGGGCCGAUUUUAAAUUAGGAAUUGGGCUUCAGAAUUUAUUUAUAUGGACCGAUUUUAAUUACUGAUUGGGCCUCUGAUUUUAUUUAUAUGGGCUUUGAUUUAAUUGUUGUUUUGAUUUGUAUGGGCUUUAUUUAAUUGAGUUGGACUCUAUUUAUUUAAUUGUUUUGGGCCUCAUCUUUUAAUUGUUUUGGGCUCCCCUUAUAAUUCAUAAAUUGGGCCUUUAUCUAUAUUAUUUGGGCCGAAUUAUUUGAGCUUGGGUUUGUUUUAUUCUAAAGGAAAUGAGCUUCCAAUUUAAUUGAUUGGGCUUUCACUUAAAUUCGAAUUGGGCCAGUCUUUUAUUUAAAUGGCCAUUCCCAUUAUUUCUAUUGGGCUUGAAUUAUUUUAAAGAUUGGGCUGAUGCUUAUUUUACGAUGGGCUAUUAUUCUAAUCUCAUUUAUAUUUCAGCUGGGCUGAGUUUUAUUUAAUUUUAAGCUCAGAAUAAUUCAUUCUAUUCUUGGGCUAAUUUUAAAUUAUGGACUGAAAUUUUAUUUAGUUGGACCUUACAUGAUUUAUUUAUUUGAGCCCAACUAUUUAUUAUUUAAUCAUUUGGGCCAAGAAUGAUUUAAUUACUAAGCCCAAUGAAUUAUUUUAAUUGGACCUUUCAUUUUAGCUAUCCAGGCCCAUUUCUGCUUAAUUAAUUAUUGAGCUACCUUAUGUUGAGCCUUUUAAUUAUUUAAUCUUAUAACAUUACUUGUUCCUAUUUAUUAAGCCCGAUUAAUUAUGAAGUUAUAAAGCGAAUAAGUUGAAGUAUUAUUUAUUUUCUAUUGACUACGAGGAAUGGGGUUUAUUUAAUUGGCGGAUUAGAACACCUGAAGCGAACAGAUUAUUUUAGUUAAUUACUCAACCACGCAAGAUGAAACCUAGUUGGUAUUUAUUUGAUCCGAUAGUGAGGAUUAAUAGUAGUAAUUCUCUAAUAUCAUCUCGGAGUAAUAAAUCAUGCAUAAGGAUCAUGCAUAGUUAAAUACACAUUCUCAUUUGAUGAUUUUAUUAGAGCAAUAUCUUAUUUAUAUUCUCGUAAUAAAGGUCAAGCACGAGAUUAAUAAUCAGUCAAGGAGCUACUGUACCACAAAAAGUUUCUAACAGGUGGGCAUUACUUUCAUAUAUAUCAAAUGAGUUUAAAUGUUACGUUCAAGCAAGUUAUCUCAUGAUUAAAUUAAUUGAAGUUAUUUCAAAUAUUGUCUUGCCAUAAAAUAUUUAAAUUUCAGUAUGAUAUCUAUCUGAUGUGACUUUUAUUAUGCAAUCGAAUUCGGGUCCUGAGCAGUUGAUAGCUAUCCUGCCAGGACUAGUGUACACCAGUGACCGUGAGUCAUCUAGCGGGUUGGCCGGUCAAGUGACCGUGAGAGGUGGCCACCUCUCCGGCACAAAGUUCCAGAUAUGAUAGAUUACAAGAGAACUUAGACUGCAGUCGAACUUUAAGAAUCACAAAUGAAUUUAGUAAGCUUGGGCCUUUUAGCGAAAAACUCCCUUGCUGUACUGUUUAAUUAUGGCAUGACAAUUUACAGUUUUGAAGCAUGUAUUUUAUACUUAGGCAUACGUGCCCACUGAGUACUUUUGUACUCAAGCCCUGCAUAUAUUUCUAAAUGUGCAGGUUGAGUAGCUGCCGAUGGUGAUGAAGUGACGAGCGGGAUUCUUUUGUCUUAUUAUGUGUUAAUGAACUCUAGGGUUACAUGUCUUCAUACAUGUAAUCAGAACCUUAUUCCGCUGCGUACUCAGAAGUUUUAUGUUUAUUUGGCUAAGUCAGAGAUAUCUGAACUUACUAGUUAUUUGAGUCUAUACGACUAAACUUCUGUUAUAUUAUAAAUAUUCCUUUUGUUAAAUGAUGAAAUGUGAUCCUUUCUUGUUUGAUUA
This is a long non-coding RNA of Salvia miltiorrhiza (redroot sage), 3337 nucleotides long. RefSeq lists it as uncharacterized. The record is from RefSeq and is a predicted model, not a curated record. Lineage: Eukaryota; Viridiplantae; Streptophyta; Magnoliopsida; Lamiales; Lamiaceae. The transcript has 2 exons.